CUCACUGCAGAGGUCAGGACAUCUGUCUUCUGCUUUGGCAGAACCUCCUGAUGAAUUGUGGCAGGAACCCAACUCAAUUCACUCAAGCGGAGUUUAUUGGUUAUUAAAACAUGGGGGGGGGAGAAGCAAUGUUGAUUCCUAGGGUAGUUAAAUCAUAGUCUUUGACUCUCCAGUGGGGAGAGUGCUGGGAGCCAAGGUGGAAGGGAGCAGGGCUGGAGUAACCUCCUGAAUACUAGGAAGAGGUAGGUCGUGUUCUUGAUUGUGGCCCUAGGGACAAAUUAGCCCCAGUUCUGCCCAAAGCAUUCCCAGCAAGAGGAGAUGGUACAUCCCCAACUACCUUGGCUCCUAAGAAGCCCCCUGCCUUGGUUUUCUGGAUUGCAUCUCCCAUUCACAGUGGUCUGGACCACAAAAGUUCAUCCCACAAGGUUGUCACUGAGAGGGCAUAAGAGGGAGAAGCAAGCAGCAUGAACCAGUGUAGAGGGGGCAGGCAGAGGAGAGCUGAGAAGCACAGACCCUAGACAGGGUCAGUGAAUGGUGCAGAUACAAGAAAGGAAAAGCCACAGGGCUUAGUGAUACAGGACAGGAGAACUUGAGAGGAGUGGGAGAUUCUGGGUUGGUGAGGGGUGAGGGGGAAAUUUCCCAGGGGUGGCUGUUGGGUAGGUAGUAGUUGUGAGGUUUGCUGAGGCACCCUUUCCCAGAAGGUGGUGAGACUGUGUGGCCAAAGGAAAUCUUGGGAAAGUCCUGAAGACAGCUAGUGAGUGCAGUCUGGAAUUGGGUCCUUGGGGUAAAAGAAGGAGACCCUUGGGUUUCAGUGGCCAUAGACACCCUGUGCAGGUCCUCAGCGGCAUUCUGUCUCAGCCUUGGCAUAAAUGCAUCAGGUGACUCAGGGAAGCCUGACAGCCUGCAAGGUGGCCGAACAGGAUCACCAAUAAAAUGCAAGAACAAAGACGACAGAACUUUGGGCUCCAGCCAAUGCACUUUAUCAGCAGAGCCCAUAAACUGUCCGUUCUUGGGUCUGAUGAAAGCCCUCCAACGUUACUACAAGGGCAGACAGAGCACUAGGAGAAAGUCACGCUACAGUCAGCUACAAGGAGGUGUGUGUGUGUGUGUGUGUGUGUGUGUGUGUGUGAGAGAGAGAGAGAGAGAGAGAGAGAGAGAAUCUCUUAUUGUUUACACACCAGGAUUCUGCCUUCCCACAGAGUAUGAGUGAAGACUUGGGAGGAGGAGGAAGCAAGAGUGCCCAUAUGUGUAUAUAUGUGCAGUACGGGUCUGCAUGUGCUAAAUGUAUGCAGUAUGUGAUGAAUGGUGGUGUUUAUACUCUACACAUGCAUGCAGAACACUUGGGUGUGAUAUGUAUGCGGUAUGUGGUGCAUCUGCAUGUACAUUAUGUAUGUGAGGUGUGCAUGACUCCGUGUGUGUGUGAGAGAGGUAUGUGUAGAGUAAGCAUGGAUCUGGAUGUAGGUAGGAUGGGUUCCUAGUACCAUCAUGAUGCUAGCCUGUAACUAAAGGAUGCUAUCUCAGAUGGGAUCCUGGCAAUGGAGCCUGAGAUAAGACUGGAGGUUGCCGAGGUGGAAGGAGAUUCCAGGGAGCCAGGGCUAGAGCAGGGAAGGAGGGGCAACUCAUAAAGGACGCAUUGUUAGGAUGGUGACCAUCACGGCCAACUAAAGCCUGUCUUCCUGGAGACUCUGUGGGAACUGUACUGAAUACAGAUGGCUGAGAUUACAGAGGGCACAGAACCUGCCUUCUUCAAAAUACCUAUUGGAACACCCAAAUUCUUGUAGGUCUUACCUGAAGCCCAGUCACCUCCCUCCUCCACCACACUAAGCCACAGGCAGUGCCUUUUCCAGUUUGUGCAUGUCGGAGGUUGAGUCCAGGGUCAGAGCAGUUUCUGCAUCCUUGUUGGGCCAUGGCUAUUUGCACAUCUAUGGUUAUAAGUAGAGUCAGAAGCACAGAGAUGCUCAGGCCUGCAUCCUAGAUACUGGUCCUCAUGCUUUUCCAGGGCAGAAGCCUGCCUCCUUGUAUUGGCUGACUGCCCCUUAGUGUGGUUUAACUUGACACGUUCCCCAUUAUAUCAGUCUCUUGGUUCCCAGAUGCUGGUCCUACUUUGGAGGCUGUGACAUCUGAGGAGGAAGAACCCAGCCAGAGGUUAUAGACCACUGAGGCAUUCAUUCGCAGGUUACUCCAGGACCCGAGUCAGGUCCUCUUCCUCUGUCUGCUAUGAGGUCAAGGUCCUCAUCACAGCCUCUUGCCACGAUGAUGCUCUGUCCAAGGACAAAGUGACCAUGGCCUGAACCUUCAGAAACCGUGGACUGACAUGAGUAAUCCCUUCCCUUUUGUUGCCAUCCGCUUGUGUGUGAUAAUGAGAAAGAGUGUUUGCUGUUGCUAACCCUGGUGAUGAGGUCUUCAGGCCUUUGGAAGUGGUUGUGGGGGAAAUUUGAAGACUUUGGAAAAGCAGGCUAGAGAGCUCGGAAGUGUUGUAUGCUCAUCUUAACUGGCAGUGAUGGUGGGAACUCGGGAGAUCAGAACCCCAUUGGGAAUGCAGACAGCAGAAGACUUCUCGUGAGACUUCAGACAGGCACAGGCACAGUGUGCUGGGAACUGGACCAAGGUGGCUCAUGCUGUAGUCUGGCAAAGGACUUCUCUGUAUAUUUCUACCUCCUGAGACUUUAUGGGAGACAGAGUUUAAAGGGAGGUGUAUUCUCAUUGGAAUAGCUAUGGCCUUAUUGGAGGAAGUCACUGUGGGAGCUUUGACAGUCUCCACUUGGUUACUUUUGGAUGAAGAUGAACUCUCUACUCCUCCAGCACCGUGUCUGCCUGCACACUGCCAUGCUUCCUGCCUUGAUAAUGGACUGAACCCCUGAAACCGGAUUAGGAGACCAGGACCCUGGACAGGGGACAUGAAAAUGCAGCAGGCAACCCAUGCAGACCACAGAGGGGCAGCGAAUUGGCCCUGAACUCUCACUUUUCACCUGGUGGGAACCCUUCGCACUUCAGAACCUGGCAGAGCGUGUGAAUCCCAUCUUAGGUUCUGGCAGGAAACCACUGCCAGAGAGACAGGAAAACCACCAGAGACUCUGGAAUUUUUGCAGAGGUAAAGCAGCCAAGUUGGAGAGUAUGGACACAGGGUUGCCAAAAGAAGGUCUGUUUCCACAACAAGACAGUAGUCCAAUUUUGAGGGUGUGUGGGUGAAGGACAACUCUUCCGUGAGCAAAGCUCUGCUUCCUUCAGUUGAGGUUUUAGAGGCUCAGGAAACGGAGCACUCGGGUUCAUUCAGACUGGCACCAAUGCUUGUCUAGACUGAGGUAAUCCACCCACCCCAGUGUGUCAAACAGAAGGAAGGGAGGGAGGGGGCAGCCACCAGUGAGAGAAUCUGCAGUUAAGCAAACAAAUAAAAACCCUCAAUGUUUAGUGCACUGUAGAAGAGUGAAUAGGAAUGGGGAUACAGUGCAUUUGUUAGAGCUCUGAUUAACAUAGGUUCAACAACCAGCACAAAAGAGGAAGAAAA
Long non-coding RNA from Mus musculus (house mouse), 3505 nucleotides. RefSeq annotates it as predicted gene, 53699. The record is from RefSeq and is a predicted model, not a curated record. The transcript is spliced from 3 exons. Lineage: Eukaryota; Metazoa; Chordata; Mammalia; Rodentia; Muridae.